CCUACGGGAGGCAGCAGUGGGGAAUAUUGGACAAUGGGGGGAACCCUGAUCCAGCCAUGCCGCGUGUGUGAAGAAGGCCCUCGGGUUGUAAAGCACUUUCAGUGAGGAAGAACGCCUGGUGGUUAAUACCCAUCAGGAAAGACAUCACUCACAGAAGAAGCACCGGCUAACUCCGUGCCAGCAGCCGCGGUAAUACGGAGGGUGCGAGCGUUAAUCGGAAUUACUGGGCGUAAAGCGCGCGUAGGUGGCUUGAUAAGCCGGUUGUGAAAGCCCCGGGCUCAACCUGGGAACGGCAUCCGGAACUGUCAAGCUAGAGUGCAGGAGAGGAAGAUAGAAUUCCCGGUGUAGCGGUGAAAUGCGUAGAGAUCGGGAGGAAUACCAGUGGCGAAGGCGGCCUUCUGGACUGACACUGACACUGAGGUGCGAAAGCGUGGGUAGCAAACAGGAUUAGAUACCCCAGUAGUC
Molecule: ribosomal RNA, 465 nt
Filed under: Vreelandella stevensii
Lineage: Bacteria; Pseudomonadati; Pseudomonadota; Gammaproteobacteria; Oceanospirillales; Halomonadaceae
Description: partial 16S ribosomal RNA
Rfam family: Bacterial small subunit ribosomal RNA
Source: RNAcentral